RNAcentral lists this ribosomal RNA (430 nucleotides) under uncultured bacterium. RNAcentral describes it as "partial 16S ribosomal RNA". It matches the Rfam family "Bacterial small subunit ribosomal RNA", at positions 29 to 507 of the family's 1533-position model. The record is from RNAcentral.
ACGAACGCUGGCGGCAGGCCUAACACAUGCAAGUCGAGCGCCCUUUCGGGGGAGCGGCGGACGGGUGAGUAACGCGUGGGAAUAUGCCCUUCUCUACGGAAUAGCCUCGGGAAACUGAGAGUAAUACCGUAUACGCCCUGUGGGGGAAAGAUUUAUCGGGGAAGGAUUAGCCCGCGUUGGAUUAGGUAGUUGGUGGGGUAAUGGCCUACCAAGCCGACGAUCCAUAGCUGGUUUGAGAGGAUGAUCAGCCACACUGGGACUGAGACACGGCCCAGACUCCUACGGGAGGCAGCAGUGGGGAAUCUUAGACAAUGGGGGCAACCCUGAUCUAGCCAUGCCGCGUGAGUGAUGAAGGCCUUAGGGUUGUAAAGCUCUUUCAGCGGGGAAGAUAAUGACGGUACCAGCAGAAGAAGCCCCGGCUAACUCCGUG